AAAUUAAAAAUUUUAUCUAAAUAUUAUCAAUUCAAAAGUUUUAAAUAUCAUCAUCUAAAUAAGUUAUCCAUGACUCUUGGUAUGGUCCAUCCCAGGGCUAAAUUACUCUCCAUUUGUGGACCAGUGAAAUUGAAGAGGAGGCAGGACUCCAUUCUGGACCAUAUUGAAGAUUGGCUGAAACAGAGAAGAGGCACCAAAAGCACUUCUCCAUAAGACAUGCCCACCAGUGCCAUGUCAGUUUACCACUGCCAUGGCAACACCCAGAAGUUAUUGUCCCUUGCUAUGGCAAUGACCUGGAAGUUACAACCUAUUUUCUAGAAAUUUCUGAAUAGCCCAUCCCUUAAUUUGCAUGUAAUAAAAAUUGGGCAUAAAUAUGACUGCAGGACUUCUGAUCUGCUACUCUUCAUGCUGCCUGUGGGGCAGCUCUGCUCUGCAGGAGCAGUCAUGGAGCUGUAACACUGCCACUUCAAUAAAGCUGUUUUCUUCUAUUACUAGCUCACUCUUGAAUUAUUUCCUAAGCAAAGCCAAGAAGCUUCCUGGGCUAAGCCUGCUCUGCAUCAAGUAGUGCCCAAUGUGGAGCUGAGGAGAGAAGACGAUGGUGUGACAGAUGGUGAGAGAAUUGGCAGUUGGCAGUCGGCAAGGCAAAGGCAAAGGCAGCAGAGCUGAGUGAAUGGGAAAGUGGCUGUAGUGCCACUGCCUUGUAGGAGACCCACUGCUCUGACCCACAGGCAGAUGGGUUACCGGUUUGGUGGCAGCCUCUCCCACCACGACAGCCGAGUCCACCCAAACUGGGGAACCUGAAGAGAACUUUACCAGCGUCCCACAUGGAUGAUCAGUUGCUGUCAUUUUGGCUCCUGUGGAGGGGGCCAUUUGAUUGAAGCACUCAAGAAAUAUACUAAUACAGACCAAGACUUCCUGGAAGGAUGAGCUCUCCUGGGUGUGCAUUUUAUUACUCAAUCUGCCUACGACAUUUGGAGGAAGCUACAAAAGGUAGCAAUGGGACCCCAAACCCCCCUGAGCCAAAUCUCAGACAGUGCCCUGGGGACAGGGCAGAGGAAAAGGUGAAAAUCAAAAGAAUUGGCCAAAAAGCACAAUUCUUAGUGGCUGCUUUAGGCUCCCUGCUGCCUUGGGGUUGCCUACCCUGAGGAAAUGUGGUGAGAUCAGCAUCUGGGAUGCUCAGACAAGAGCCCUCAAAUUGCUGGCUUCUAGGCCAAACUCAGUGUACUUCUAUAAGGUAGGUAGAGGGGCACUGGAGGAAGGACUGCUCCAGGUUUAAAAGGGAGUCUAAGCAGGAGGCUUAGGCACGAGAAUUGCUUGAACCCAGGAUGUGAAGUUUGCAGUGAGCCAAGAUUGCACCACCACAAUCCAGCCUGGGUGACAAAAAAAAAAAAGUCUAAGCCAUCCAGACCCAUAAUACCCAAGAAAGCAGAGGAUCCAUGGAGACCAACGUCCUCCACAGAUACUACUGGACACCUUACCAUCUCCACAGAGGAGUCUCAGGUAAGUUUUUAUAUGGCAGGCAAAAAUAUUGAGUUCUUAUUCGACAUGAGAGCAGCCUACUCAGUUUUUACCCAUUUCUAAGGCCUGCAGUCUUUCCACUCUUGUAUGGUAACAGGG
RNAcentral lists this long non-coding RNA (1617 nucleotides) under Homo sapiens (human). RNAcentral's name for it is "HSALNT0347711". The record is from RNAcentral. Lineage: Eukaryota; Metazoa; Chordata; Mammalia; Primates; Hominidae.